GCAUUAAUUGGAAAAACUCUGAAAAAAUUGCUCCAGUUUCUCUCUCUCAUUUUCUCUCGUCUCUUUCAUUGUUUCAAGUCUAAGCUCCUCAAGGUUAGCCAUGGCAGUCAUGUUAUCAUGGUAUCAGAGCUUUGGCUCUUGAUCCUGUGCUGGCCUUACCUAUUGUAAUUGUAUGUUUCAGUUCGCUUCCGCAUCUUCUCAAGCUCGUUGUGAUUUUGUGAGCUGAAUCCCUAACCUUUUAGGCUACUUCAUCUCUUUGCAAAUCACGCUCUUGAGAUUCCAGUCAAGUUUGUGACAAAAUGGCUAUCUCUCAGUCUGAUAUUAACUCACUUCUGAGUAUGAUCACUGUGAAGUUGAGUGAAAACAACUUUGUCAAAUGGAGCUUUCAAUUUCAAUCUGUCCUGGAAGGCAAUGAUAUGUUUAGCUACUUUGAUGGUAGCUAUCCUUGUCCACCUCGGUUUGCUUUGACUGAGGAAGGAUCUAUGACUAGUGAGGUUACUCAUGCGUAUAAACAAUGGAAGAAGAUUGAUAAGGCUCUUCUCGGCUUACUCAUGGACACUCUUGACGAGUCUUGUAAUUGAGUUUUGGUAUGGAGUAUGAUACUCUUCCUAACCUUUUUAUGAUAGGUUUAAUGAGGCCACUAUAUACUCUUUGAUGUAGUUCUUUUCAAUGAUGAAUGAAUUCUCGUUCGAUCAAAAAAAUAAUAAUAAGAAAACUUAAGGUUAUGUUGCUA
Molecule: long non-coding RNA, 733 nt
Organism: Rosa chinensis
Lineage: Eukaryota; Viridiplantae; Streptophyta; Magnoliopsida; Rosales; Rosaceae
Exons: 2
Source: RefSeq, a predicted model, not a curated record